RNAcentral lists this unclassified non-coding RNA (381 nucleotides) under Hevea brasiliensis (rubber tree). The record is from RNAcentral. Lineage: Eukaryota; Viridiplantae; Streptophyta; Magnoliopsida; Malpighiales; Euphorbiaceae.
AGAAAUCCUACUCCUGUGUGGAUUUAAAGAUUUUUUUUCUGAAUAUAUAUUACAUCAACACCACCUCCAUCGUCUCUGAUCCAGGUGCGCCAACGCGUCCGAGAUUGCUUCACAGAAAGCUGAAACUACAGAGAUGAAGAUUAUUUUAUCAGCUUCUUUCAUGAUGGGCACCAUAAUAAGUUUAUUUCCUCGAGAAUACAAAUAUGGAAUCCAGUUCCGAACAUAUUUCAUGCCUUUGUGAUUUGCAUCAUCUUUUCCUUCACGGGUUUCUUUUUUCUAUUUGAUGAUUGAAAACAAGCUCAAGCUUGCCAAAUUCUGCAAGUACUACUCGAUGAUUUAUGUGAUAUUGGCUUUAUUGAUGCUUCUCUAUGUUUUGUUUUU